GCUCCGUCCUUGGUAAGUUGGAGGAUAUUAUUAAGAACGAUAGAAGAUUGUUUUUUUCCUUUGCCUUAAAAAAUAAGAUUCUGGGCAAAAGGUCACAUACCGUAAUUCUAUUUACAAACGUCCAGAAUGGGCAAAUCCACAGAAACAGAGAGUGGAUUAGUGUUGUCAGGGGCUGGGGAGGGGAUUGGGGCAUGUCUGCUAAUGGGGUGAUGGGAUGUUCUGGAACUAGAUAGAGGGGAUGGUUGCCCAGCUUUGAAUGUAUUAAAACCCACUGAAGUGUAUACUUGAAGUGGGGGCCCAUUCUGUGUGAAUUAUAGCUCAGUAGUGCUGCUGUUGCAGAGAUGAGGCUUAGGACACAAAGGGUGUUUCUGGAGUUGUUUGACCUGUUAGGUUAGGACCGCUGUGCCGUGGGGGCCCCUGUCCUGGGACCUUCCGGGCAUCCAUGCCCUGGCCCGUAGGGGCUCUGCCUGCGUUGCCGUCCUCCACUGUGAAGCGUGGAAAUGGUGGCCUGGUCUGAGAGGGGCAGUCGCUGUCCCGGGGCAGGGCUGGCAGCUCUGGGCCUGACCAUCUCACCUCCAGCUUCAGCCCGUGUUCUUCGGGGGCCCUCCUCUCACUGUGCAUCCUCUUCGAGGCCCCUCCUCACCGCGAUAGGAACCUUAACCGGCGGGGCAGAGGUGCAGUCUAGAGUUACAGACCGUCCACACGAUGCGUCGUCCUCACUUGGUUUCUGCGGGGUCUUGGGUUAGCUGGCCGCCAAGACCCCGGCGAAAGGCCAGAGCGACCCCCGACGUGCUCCUCGGGGAAAGUGGCGAUGCCAGCCCGCGGGUGCAGUGAGGCCCGGAGAGCGCCGCCGUGGGCGGGAGGGAGGAACGCUGCUCGCCCGCUCCCGGUGGUUGCACGAGUGGUGUUUCCCCAUUUUACAGAUGGAGACCGAGGCCUGCGGCGAUUCAGGGACUCAGAGGCAGACCUGUGGCUUCCAGGCUGCAGGAGCACCCGGGGGAAGUCCUGGGGCAGGAGGGUCGGAGGCUUCGAGUCCGUCCCGGUCCCUUCCCCGCAGCCCGCUGGGCGGCAGGGCGCUGCAGGAACAGGCGCUCCCAGAACCAGCGUGUCCCACGUGGCAGGACAGGGCCCCAGCGCUGUAGGUGGAGCUCUCUGGACGUUUAAACCCACGAUGCCGCUCACGAAAUCAUUGAGACCAUCCAGAGGAAAAGAGACGUAGAGUUACAUCCAGAGAACGG
Delphinapterus leucas (beluga whale) is the source of this 1238-nucleotide non-coding RNA. Lineage: Eukaryota; Metazoa; Chordata; Mammalia; Artiodactyla; Monodontidae. The record is from RefSeq and is a predicted model, not a curated record.